UUCUUGACGACCAUAGAGCAUUGGAACCACCUGAUCCCAUCCCGAACUCAGCAGUGAAACGAUGCAUCGCCGAUGGUAGUGUGGGGUUUCCCAUGUGAGAGUAGGUCAUCGUCAAGAUU
This 119-nucleotide ribosomal RNA is filed under the name Pseudomonas putida. The record is from RNAcentral. Lineage: Bacteria; Pseudomonadati; Pseudomonadota; Gammaproteobacteria; Pseudomonadales; Pseudomonadaceae.